Molecule: ribosomal RNA, 391 nt
Filed under: Capra hircus (goat)
Lineage: Eukaryota; Metazoa; Chordata; Mammalia; Artiodactyla; Bovidae
Description: partial 12S small subunit ribosomal RNA
Rfam family: Bacterial small subunit ribosomal RNA
Source: RNAcentral
UUAGCCCUAAACACAAAUAAUUACAGAAACAAAAUUAUUCGCCAGAGUACUACCGGCAACAGCCCGAAACUCAAAGGACUUGGCGGUGCUUUAUACCCUUCUAGAGGAGCCUGUUCUAUAAUCGAUAAACCCCGAUAAACCUCACCAAUCCUUGCUAAUACAGUCUAUAUACCGCCAUCUUCAGCAAACCCUAAAAAGGAACAAAAGUAAGCUCAAUCACAACACAUAAAGACGUUAGGUCAAGGUGUAACCCAUGGAAUGGGAAGAAAUGGGCUACAUUUUCUACCUUAAGAAAAUUAAUACGAAAGCCAUUAUGAAAUUAAUGACCAAAGGAGGAUUUAGUAGUAAACUAAGAAUAGAGUGCUUAGUUGAAUUAGGCCAUGAAGCACGC